This 22115-nucleotide long non-coding RNA is filed under the name Populus tremula. Its description in RNAcentral is "long non-coding RNA (PTRE_LNC002903)". Lineage: Eukaryota; Viridiplantae; Streptophyta; Magnoliopsida; Malpighiales; Salicaceae. The record is from RNAcentral.
CGCCAAGAUGCUCCAGGGCUUCUUGUUUCUUCUUGGGAGAGGUGCUAAUAACAGUCACCUUGACCCCAAUGGCCUUUGCAAACUUUACAGCUACAUGACCUAGCCCGCCGAGCCCAACCACGCCCACAUGCAUUCCCGGUUUGUCAAGACCGUAAAAUCUCAAGGGGCUAUACACUGAAAUUCCAGCGCAUAGGAGAGGUGCGGCGGCAUCUAGAGGUAGGUUGUCUGGAAUAUGAACAACGAAGUGCUCAUCUACGACCAUAAUGUCCGAGUAGCCCCCGUACGUGGUGGUUCCGUCGUGGUAUUUGCUGGCAUAGGAGAGUAUCAUUUUUGGGCAAUAAUUCUCGAGAUGGCUGUUGCAACUAUCGCAAGAGCGGCAUGAUCCAACCAUGCACCCCACCCCCACUUUGUCUCCAACUUUGAUCUUCUCGACUUUGCUUCCUACCUCUGUCACUUCCCCGACAAUCUCAUGCCUGCAUUGCCAAUUUAAUUUAAUUAACCUCCAGCGGCGGAGCUGGUAAUAAUCGGUAGCGAAGGUCAAAAUUAAUAUAAAAAAGAUAUAUUAUUAAAAAGUUUAUUUAUUUAAAAUAAAAAAUAUUAUAUAUUUUAUAUUUAAAUACUAAAUAAUAAAAAGUUUAAAAUGUUUUGCGGAGCCAGCCCCUGCUUGCCUCCCCUAGUUCCGCCCCUGCCUCAUAUGCAAGGCAUGGCUGAAUUUAUUCCAGUCAAAGUUCCUCUAAACAUCUUCGUUGGACUGCCAAUUGCCAUUCAUCAUGUUUAUGUACAAAAAAUCAAGAGAAUAACUAUACGGCCAUGGAUUUUUCUUGCUGUGUGUACAUACCCGGGAACUAGAGGGUACGUGGACAUACCCCAAUCAUUCUUGGCCAUAUGAAGGUCUGUGUGACAUAUUCCACAAAACAGCACCUUGAAUCGCACAUCCUUCUCUCCUGUAGACCUGUUGAAAGAGGUGUUUCUUGCUUAGCAUAAACCGCAAGUGAAAACGAGAGAUAUUCAUAGGUAGAAAAUCUAUCAGAUCGCCAUUCACCAACCAUAAUAUUGCUAAACAUAUAUAUAAAGCUAUGAACAUGUGAUUCAAUAAACUUAUUUCACAUAAUAAAAAUAAAAGGCUGCCAUAUCUGAUGUAGCCCAUCUUGCAGCUGUGCUGCAUGCUUGUUGGUGUUUAGAAAAACAAGAAGAAAAUGGAUCUAAGUAAAACCGAGCUAGACAGAGAGAGAGAAGAAGUCCCAUAAUUAAAUAAAUAAAGCAGCGACAAGAUGGAGGAGAGGGAAUAACCUCCUGGAGAAUUUGAAAGGAGAGAGGACCCCGGAUUGGUCUCUGGCUGCCCAUCCAAAAGCCUUGGUAGGAUGUUCUUCCUCGUAAGAUUUUUCUGCCAUUUUCGCCUCCUUUUGCUCUAUUUGGUACUGCCGAGAGAGUGUGCAUGGUGCACUAAUUUAUAAUGGCGGGUGGUCAGCCAUUGCGUAUAAUGGGCAGGGAUGACAUGUUGGUGAGCUAAGCACCGUUAGUCGCUCAUCCGUGAGCCAAUCAAUUAUCUCGAGAGAAAAGCCAUCUGUCCAUUAGCUAGUUAUAAAAUUUGAAACGAACAAGAACGUCUUUUUUUGUGUUUUAAAAAUAAUUAAAAAUAAUUAUUUUUUUUUAAUUAUUAUUUUUUUAAUAUUAUUAAAUUAUUUUAAUAUAUUAAUAUCAAAAUUAAUUUUUAAAACAUAUAAAAAAUAUAUUAUAUUAAUAUAUUUUUAUAUAAAAAAUAAUUUAAAAAAUAAUCGUAACCUCAAUCAACAAUCGAAGAGUUUCGAAUCUCAAGUACACGCUGUCGUUUACUCUCAACUCUAUUUCCUUGCGUUGAAUUAACAAGUGAAAACUGAAUUUCCGGCCUCCAAACCAAUGGUUGUGUGCCUCCUAAUAAAAUAAUAUAUUGGAGAAGUUUUGAACCGCAUUUUAUUUAUUCUCUUUAUGGAUCAACAACUAAUAAACAUUCAUAAAAAGAGAUGCAAUGCAAGUAUGCCUGUUAGCCAGACCAGGUGAACGCAAGAAAAUAAUGGCAAAAAAAAAAAACCAAUUCACCAAAAACAAUGUUAUAUGAACCGCAUUUUAUUUAUUCUCUUUAUGGAUCAACAAAUAAUAAAAUCUUGAUUCUUAAAACAAUAAAUAAAAUCAUGAACAGCAAACCAUUUUCUCUUUUUGCAUCAACAGAUAAUAAAAUCAAGAACAACAGGCAAGGUAAUUACACAAAGUCCCUCAAAAAGAAAGUCAAACGAGCAGCGCGAUGUCCGAAUCUACUUAUUAUUAUACAUAGUACCUGUUUAGGAUUGUGUUUGAAAAGCGAUUUUUAUAAAAUUAAAAAAAAAAUUUGUUUAGAAUUAAUAUGUUUUUGAUGUGCUGAUCUCAAAAAUAAUUUUUAAAAAUAAAAUUAUUAACAUAUUUUUUUAAAUAAAAUAUAUUUUAAAAAAUAACCACAACUACCAUCACAAACACGUUAAUAUCCUAGGAAAGCAAGCAGUGACAACAACAGGAAAAACCUGGUGUUUGCUGAGUAUGUGUGCUGAUUAGUACUGUCUGUGGGCUCUGAGAGAGCUUAGACCCGAGGGCUAUUUAUAAGGUUUUGUGGAAGCUUGCGGGACCCCGGAACAGAACCUGGAAGGCUGGAACACCUGCGCCAUGUUCAUAAAUGGCAAGGGGUGUUUAUAUAGUGAGGGCUCGGGUAAGUUUCCACAAAGAAAACGCGUGGGGUCAUAGAUAACGUGGACGGCUGGAACACAGAGGCCAGCAAGAAAACGGAUGGUGCUAAAAAAUAAUUUGAUUUUUAUUAACGUUAGCGGACACUUGUCCUCAUUUUAUUUCCCUAAAUUGGUAACCGUUACCUAUAACUAGUCUCCAUGUCAAACACUCAACGUAGUUAAAACGGCAUGUCGGCGUGGGAUUGGGUUGCGGGCCUUCGAUUUGGUAAGCUGGGCCUGCAUACUUGGAUCUCAUCUCCCUGCAUUAUUAUUAUUAUUAUGAGUGCUAUAAAUGACAUGCUAAACUAAUGCUUGGAAAAAAAGAAGAAGAAAAUCAACACAAAAAAAAUUGCAAAAGAUAAAUACACACGAAAAAAUAAAUUCAACUAAAAAGAUUUGUAUGAAAAAAAUUAAAAAAUACUAUAAAUAAAUCAACUAAAAAUUGAUCUCACGUGAAAAAAAAAUCAUACAACAACAUUUAUAAAACUAUUAAGAAAAAAAACAAUUAAAAAUAAAAUGAAAACAUAUAUAGUGAAAAAUACAUGAAAAAAUAAGAUUUUUUUUUUACCUUAAUAUAGUUGCAAGUGAAGUUAAGAAGAGAAAUUUUUUCGUAAAAUGAUUAAUUAAAAAAAAUUGAGAAAAAAAUAAGAAGGAAGAAGAAGACAAACUUGAGCAUGGAGAAGAAGAGAAGGGGUCGAGGAGAGAAGAAGAGAAAGGGUCGAGGUCUAUUGUGAAAUUAGGGAUUCUAGACUUUUUAUUGGGCGUUUUACCAAUAAUUUUGCAGAUGGAUUAUUAAAUAUUAAUAUUUUUAAUUAUUUUGUCGACGAUUCCGUCCGUAAUAUUUAAUUUAAAUUUUGAAUUUAAUCAAAAAAUUUCAAAAACCAUCAAAUAUCACUGGCGACUUUUCAAUCUGUCGGUGAUUCUGUUUGUAAUAUUUAGUUUAAAAUUUUACUCUAAGCUAAGUUUUUCAGAAAACUGCCCAAUAACAUCGACGAAUUUUCAAUCUAUCGUUGAUUUUAUCUAUAAAAAACAGUAACUAACAAUAAAAUUUGAAAGUGAAUAAUUCCAGAGCUCUGUAAAAUAUAGACAGAAGUUUCUGUUGGUGAUUCCGUUUGUAAUUGGCAUGAUGAAUAGUGUUCACAAUUUACCAACAAUUUUACCAAUAAAAUUUACGGAUAGAAUAAAUUCUGUUAGUAAUUCCGUUGAAAGAACAACUUGUCAUCAUUUUUUUUACCUUGUUUUAUUUUUUUUAAUGUAAUUGUUUUUGGUAAAUAUUGAUGGAAUAUUUUCAUCAGUAAAAUUCUUAGGUAAUCUAUGAACAAAAAAAAUUACAUCAGUAUUUUUAUUUAUAUUUAUCAAUAAAAGUUGAAAAAUUAUUUUUUUAAUAAUCAUCUAUCUGGUUUUUUCGAAGACUACGUACUCUAUCGUGGGAGCGCACUAUUGUCAACCCGGCAAUGAAAGGCAACAUGGUAAUUAAAAACUCCAAAGUCGUGUUUUUGUUCAGCAUUCAAUACAUAAAAAACAGUGAGAAAGAAAGCACUCGUUAUCCAUGUCCCACUCCCACGCAGACAUGAUCUGAUUUAAUCAAUUUUGAAUUAUGGGAUAGUACUGACCUAAUUAAUUUGACAAUUCAACAUCUUAAUAUUCUUAAUUACAAGAGUACUUUGUCCAUGUUUGACGUCCUUUAUUCUUAGAGAUGAGAUGGAAAUAAAUUAAUUUUAUUCAAUGUGUGGGAUUGAAAAGAUCAUGAUUAAAUUGACGCCAAGGGUUCAAGUAAUUAUUAUGAUAAAUGGAAAAAUAAAUUAAUGUGUGGGAUUGAAAAGAUCAAGAUUAAUAUGACCUAUAUAUAUUUGUUAAAACAGGACUUUCUGAUAAUUUUCUCAAAGAAUAAGGUCAUGUCUGCAAAUAACAGGGCUGCUCUCUUUGUUGAAAUCUAAUAGUUUUCCACUGUACUGAGUAAAAGCUUGUGAGUAUAAAAAGAAAAACAUGUGCAAAAAUGUACUCCAUUGAUCGAUUCAUAUAAAGCGAAACUCUUCUGAUAAAUAAUAAAAAGGUGAGGGGCUUAAACAAAAUAAAUCAAAGCAGAAACACUUGGAACAUAAAAUUUACACAGAAAUAGAGGUACUAAAUAACGUCACCUCAUUGCUUCAAUUUUCAAAACAUGAUUACAGUGUGCUUACAGAGAUACCGAAAACUCCAUAAUUUUCAAACCCACGAAUCUCACAUUACAUGCGUUUUAUUUCGUACAGUGUUUACGAGGAGGAGAAUUCAAAUCUUCAUGGUGUUGCCGAUGUCAAUAACAAAUCGGUAUCUGACAUCUGCUUUCGAAAGCCGCACCAUUGCGGUGUUCACAUAAUCCAUCGAGAUAACCUCAAUGUCUGCAGUGAUGUUGUUCUUGGCAGCAAAAUCAAUCAUCUCUUGUGUUUCCUUCAUUCCUCCUAUGCUGCUCCCUCCCACUAUUUUUCUUCCUGCCAAGCCAAGAACAUGGAAUUCGUCGCUGUCAGCUCAAUAAAAUAAAUUUAGAACACAUGCUGAGAUGCAAGCAUAUAUACAUACCCAUGAUCAGAGGAAACACUGGUAGCUCAAGUGGCUUCUCAGGCGCACCAACCAAGACCAGUUUUCCUUGAGUCUUCAAUAGACUAAUCAAAGGCAAGAUAGGAUGUAUGGCCGACACCGUGUCAAUCACACCAUCCAUUGUGCCCAUAGCAGCCUGAAUAACAGACAAUAUUAUAUUAUGUUUGAUGCUUAAUUAGUUUUACAGAUAAAUACAAGGAAUGUGCUCUGAACCAUGUUUAUAUAUAUAUAUACCUGCAUCUCAUCCUGGUCACGACUAACUAGAAACGAGUCAGCACCAAGAUGCUCAAGGGCUUCUUGUUUCUUCUUGGGAGAGGUGCUAAUAACUGUAACCUUGACCCCCAUGGCCUUUGCAAACUUUACAGCUACAUGACCUAGCCCGCCGAGCCCAACCACGCCCACAUGCAUACCCGGUUUGUCAAGAUUAAAAAACCUCAAGGGGCUGUAAACUGUAAUCCCAGCACAUAGGAGAGGUGCGGCGGCAUCUAGAGGUAGGUUGUCUGGAAUAUGAACAAGGAAGUGCUCAUCUACGACCAUAAUGUCCGAGUAGCCCCCGUAUGUGGUGGUUCCGUCGUGGUAUUUGCUGGCAUAGGAGAGUAUCAUUUUUGGGCAAUAAUUCUCGAGAUGGCUGUUGCAACUAUCGCAAGAGCGGCAUGAUCCAACCAUGCACCCCACCCCCACUUUGUCUCCAACUUUGAUCUUCUCGACUUUGCUUCCUACCUCUGUCACUUCCCCGACAAUCUCAUGCCUGCAUUGCCAAUUUAAUUUAAUUAACCUCCAGCGGCGGAGCUGGUAAUAAUUGGUAGCGAAGGUCAAAAUUAAUAUAAAAAAGAUAUAUUAUUAAAAAGUUUAUCUAUUUAAAAUAAAAAAUAUUUUAUAUUUUAUAUUUAAAUAAUAAAUAAUAAAAAGUUUAAAAUGUUUUGUGGAGCCAGACCCUGCUUGCCUCCCCUAGUUCCGCCCUGCCUCAUAUGCAAGGCAUGGAUGAAUUGAUUCCAGUCAAAGCAGUUCCUCUAAACAUUUUCGUUGGACUGUCAAUUGCCAUCCAUCAUGUUUAUGUACAAAAAAUCAAGAGAAAUAACUAUACGGUCAUAGAUUUUUUUCUUGCUGUGUGUACAUACCCGGGAACUAGAGGGUACGUGGACAUACCCCAAUCAUUCUUGGCCAUAUGAAGGUCUGUGUGACAUAUUCCACAAAACAGCACCUUGAAUCGCACAUCCUUCUCUCCUGUAGACCUGUUGCAAGAGGUGUUUCUUGCUUAGCAUAAACCGCAAAUGAAAACGAGAGAUAUUCAUAGGUAGAAAAUCUAUCAGAUCGCCAUUCACCAACCAUAAUAUUACUAAACAUAUAUAUAAAGCUAUAAACAUGUGAUUCAAUAAACUUAUUUCACAUAUUAAAAAUAAAAGGCUGCCAUAUCUGAUGUAGCCCAUCUUGCAGCUGUGCUGCAUGCUUGUUGGUGUUUAGAAAAACAAGAAGAAAAUGGAUCUAAGUAAACAGAGCUAGACAAAGAGAGAGAAGAAGUCCCAUAAUUAAAUAAAUAAAGCAGCGACAAGAUGGAGGAGAGGGAAUAACCUCCUGGAGAAUUUGAAAGGAGAGAGGACGCCGGAUUGGUCUCUGGCUGCCCAUCCAAAAGCCUUGGUAGGAUGUUCUUCCUCGUAAGAUUUUUCUGCCAUUUCCACCCUCUUUUUUCCUUUAUUUGGUACUGCCGAGAGAGUGUGCAUGGUGCACUAAUUUAUAAUGGGCAGGGAUGACAUACUGGGUGAGCUAAGCACCUUUAGUCGCUCAUCCGUGAGCUAAUCAAUUACCUCGACAGAAAAGCCAUCUGUCCAUUAGCUAGUUAUAAAAUUGGAAACAAUCACGUUGGUUUAUUUAUGUGUUUUAAAAAUAAUUUUUUUAAUUAAUAUAUUUUAAUAUUUUUAAAUUAUUUUAAUACACUAAUAUCAAAAUUAAUUUUUAAAACAUAUAAAAAAUAUAUUAUAUUAAUAAAAUUUUAAAUAAAAAAUAUUUUAAAAAAUAAUAAUAGCCUCAACCAUAGAAGAGUUUCGAAUCUCAAGUACACGCUGUCGUUUACUGUCAACUCUAUUUCCUUGCGUUGAAUUAACAAGUGACAAGUGAAUUUCCGGCCUCCAAACCAAUGGUUGUGUGCCUCCUAAUAAAAUAAUAUAUUGGAGAAGUUUUGAACCGCACUUUAUUUAUUCUCUUUAUGGAUCAACAAGUAAUAAACAUUCAUAAAAAGAGAUGCAAGUAUGCCUGGUAGCCAGACCAGGUGAACGCAAGAAAAUAAUGGCAAAAAAAAAAACCAAUUCACCAAAAACAAUAUUAUAUGAACCGCAUUUUAUUUAUUCUCUUUAUGGAUCAACAAAUAAUAAAAUCUUGAUUCUUAAAACAAUAAAUAAAAUCAUGAACAGCAAACCAUUUUCUCUUUUUGCAUCAACAGAUAAUAAAAUCAAGAACAACAGGCAAGGUAAUUACACAAAGUCCCUCAAAAAGAAAGUCAAGCGAGCAGAGACAACAACAGGGAUGAGCAAAACACAGCCGCGGACAUCCCCAGAGAAUAGGCUGCUCCCUUGUCCAUUGUUGGUGCAGGUGCUGGCUCCAUCUCAAGAUCUUGAGCAGUAACAGUUGCAAAAUACAUGGCCACAACAAAGAAGAUGGCCAUAGCCUUGAAUGCACACACUAAUUGUGCCAUGGAGACAGAGAAAAAUAGAACUUUUGUGGUUGGUUGCCACAUGGUUUGGGUUGGUUAAGCUGCUUCAAUCCCAAGGACCUUAACUUGUAAGGAAAAUUCUAGUGUGGGACUUUGGGCAGUUUGUAACUCCGAGCUUUUCUAAAUUUUGAAAAUUUUUAUUUAUUUAUUUUAUUUUUUAUAUUUUUUCAUCAUAUAUUAAUAUUAAAAAUAAUUUUAAGAAAAUAAAAUAAUUAUUACAAGAAUCACAAACAUCCCUUUUCAUUACACUCUAAAAUACAAUGCUAAAAUUUUGAAACACAUUUUACACCUUAAAUUUCAAUAUUUCUUUCGGUUGGCCCAUGUUAAAACACGUUGAAGGUUAAAGAAAACCUUCGUGGCUAAAUCACUAUAGCCAUGUUCACAUGAUUUUAUUCACUAUAAUACUGUUCUAAGUUUUUAUUUUUACUUUUUUUUAUUUCAUCACGAUCUAUCAUUGAUUUUUAGUUUGUUUUCAAUUUUAAUAUUUAAUAUUAUGUUUUUUUAAAAAUUCUAUUUUGUAAAUUUUUUAUUUUUAUAUAUUGGGUUAUAUAUUAGUUUCAUGAAUUUAAUUUUUUUCUUAUAAUUUUUUUCAACUUGCUUUUUAUAAAUUUACUGAGAUCGCGGGUUUAAUAAGUUAACCGAGGUUGGCUUGGGUUUUUUUAGCCGCCUUUUCUAAUUAAUUAUUUUUUAUUCUUCAACAUUGAGUUAGUUGAAAAUUAGAUUUGAUUUUUUUUCUUUUUUUAAUUGAGCAUUUUUUAUGGGGCUUUAUAAAAAAAUUUGAAUUUUUUUUUUAGGGUUAUCUCGAUCUCAUAAUUUAGAUCACAAGUUUAAUAGGUUGAUCCAAGUUAACUCUAUUCAUUUUUUAUGUUUUUUUAAAAUUAAAAAUAUUUUAAAAAACUUUCACCGCUCAAAAACUCAAAUCUUCCUCUCUUUUUUUAAUUUUUUUUUUAAUUUCAUCUCUCGAUAUUAAGUUGUUUAGAAGUUUAGCUAGGUAAUUUUUUUCAAUUUGCAUUUUGUAGAGUUAUCCUGGUUUUAUAGAUAAAUUUCUUUUCUUUAAAUUUCAACCUUUAACAUUAAAUCAAUUAAAAAUAGAGCUCCAUGACUUUUUUAUUUAUUUGCCUUUUAUAAUGUUACCUGGAUCUUAUGAUCCAGGUCGCGAGUUUAACAGGCUAACCCAGGUUGACUUGGGUUGUUUCUUGUCCUUUUAAUUUUCUUAUUUCAUCAUUUUAAAUCGUGUUGAUUGGAAAUUAAGCUCAUAAGUUUGUUUCCUUGUUUUUUAUAGGAUUAUCUCAAUCUCAUGGUCCAGAUCCUGAUUUUUGCAAGUUGAUUUAAGUAGUUUUUUUGUCCUUUUUUUAAUUUAAUAUUCUUUUUUUUUAAUUUCAUUCUUCAGCUUUUGAAUGAUUAGGAAUUGACUUCCAUUGUAUAUUUUGAUUUGUUUUUUUUUAUAGGGUUGUUACAAUCUCAAGACUUGAAUUGCGAAUCUGACAAGUUAAUCCGGAUUGAUCCAAUAUAUAAUUACCUUUUAAUAUGUUACUCUAUUAAUAUUUUUUUUAAAAUACACCAUUCAAUAUGCAUUACCUUUUAAGUUUAUAAUUGAUUUUUCUUAUUAAGAAACAUGUCAAUAAUGCUUCAACAUUUGUUUUUAAGUAGUAGUGACAGUAAUAGUAGUAGUAGUAGUAGUAGUAAUAGUUGUGAAUGUAGUGGUAAUAAUAAUAAUAUUAUUAAUAAUAAUAAUACUAGUGGUAAUGAUACUAGCUAGAAGUACUAGCAACAACAAUGAUAAUAAUAAAAAAAAUUGAUCUGCAGAUAAAAGUUGAUCUCGCCUCAAAGUUCCUCCCUUUUUAAAAAAAUUAACGCUGCUUAAAAUUAAAAAUUUAGUAAAAUAAUAUAUACAUAAAAAUUAUAAACUCCAAAAUGAAAAAGAAAAAAAGCAAAGCCCAUUUAUAUUGCUAAAAUGAAUAUUAUAAAAAGAGUUGCUAAAACGAAAUAAUAAUUUAUUAAUAUCAAAGAAAAUACACAAGUUCUAAUAAAUCGAUAUACACAUGCCCCUCGUCUUAAAAAAAGAAAUACAACCACAAGCAAACCCACAUAUAAAAAAUAAAUCUUUAUUUCACUGUAUAAACAAAUUAUAUAAUAUACUAAAAAAGAGUCAAUCCUCUUCUUAAUAUUUAGCUAGACUCAAAGCACUAUGGAUUGAAGCAGUGUAAUAGCAACUUAGGCGCCCUUUACAAAGAGAGUUGCGAGGGUAGUGGGGUUGUCUUUUUAUUUGGAUGCAUUUGACAUUGAAUAGAUAGUUGGAGAGAAAAUGAUCACUUCAAGUUUGGGUGGGGCUACUCUAGGUGUCAGCCAAGCUUGCUCACCUACAUGAGGACACCUGGCGUUUAAGUUGACCUGCAUCACAUGGAGCUUGGACUGGCUUGCUCUUGCCAUGGGUGGCAGCCAAGCCCGCGCACUCACGUGAGGAUACUUGACGCUUGGGCUGCCCUGCCCUGCCCUUAUCUUGGAUCUGACCCGAGCGCCACGUGGUGCUAGGCUGGCAUGUCUUUGCCUUAGACGAGAGCCAGACUCAUACCCUCACAUGAAAACACUCGACGCUGGGGUUGCCUUGCCUUGAACAAAGCCAAACCGCUCAACUUGGGUCCAAACAUGCUCCAAGCCCAAUAAACUGGUUUUGCAUGGAAGUGUCCAAGUCCAAUUAGAAGUACUCAUGGCAACACUUGGAGUCCUGAUUUUAUUUCCCUAUCUUGGUAAACCGUUACCUAACACUAUUCCUCAUUUCAAACACUCAACGUAAUUUGUGUUAGCAUGGAAAGUUAGCACAAAAAAUUGAUUUCAAAUUAAUUAAUAGGAUUAAUUUAAGAAGAUCAAAGUUGAAAAACUAAUUUUUAAAUGAUCAUUUAUCUGUUUUGUAAUGGGAUUAAUUUAAGGAGAUCAAAGUUGAAUUAAAAACUCAUUUUUAAAUGAUCAUUUAUCUGUUUUUUAAAGACCACGUACUAUAUCUUUGUAGCACUAUUGUCAGCCUGGCAAUGAAAGGCAACAUGGUAAUUAAAAACUUCAAAUUAGUGGUCAACAUUCAACACAUAAAAAAAUAGUGAGACAGAAAGCAGUUGUUUUCCAUGUCCCACUUCCACACAAAUGAUAUGUUAAUUUAAUCAAUUUUGAAUUAUGGGAUAGUGACCUAAUUAAUUUAACAAUUCAACAUCUUAAUAUUUUUAAUUGUAAGAGUACUUUCCUCGUCCAUGUUUGACGUCCUUUAUUCUAAACUCAUCCAAGCACUGGUUGUACAACGAAAAUCAACACCAAACACAUAAAAUAUUAAGAGAGAAGUAGUUCUUUCUCCGUCAAAUAAUUAAAGGAGGAAAGUUUUUUUUUUGUGUGUUUUAGAGAGAGAAAAGAUGGAAAUAAAUUAAUUUUAUUCAAUGUGUGGGAAUGAAUAGAUCAUUGAUUAAAUUGACGCUAAGGGUUUAAGUAAUUAUGAUAAAGGAAAAUAAAUUGAUAAAUGUCCAAAGAAUAAGGUCAUGUCUGCAAAUAACAGGGUUGCUCUCUUGGUUGAAAUCUGAUACUUUUCCACUGUACUGAGUAAAAGCAUGUGCAUAUGAAAAUAAAUCUUAAACGGAUAAGUGAUAACGUUGAAGUACGGGCGCUUGAAAAGAAAAACAUCGCAGUUUUCUUAUCUUAAAUUGGGCUGGGUUAGCCGAAAUGUACUCCAUUAAUCGAUUCAUAUAAAGUGACGCUCUCCAGAUAGAGAUGUUUUUAUAUUUUUACAUGGCUAUUAGUCAUUAUAAAUUUAAUUGAUAAUAUUUUUAUUUAUUUAAUAUUUUUAAUAAUAGUAAAUUAACAAAAAUACCUUAAUAAUAAAAGAAUCAACAUAGCAGGGCAAUAGUGUUUUGGUAUUUUUUUUAUAAAUAAUUAAAUUAUACAUGCUCCCUUAAAUUCAAGAAAAGAAAAUAAUUGAGGUUAGGGGUAUUAGGAUUUUUUAGUCUAAUUUCUUUUUCUUGCAAUUGUAUGAUUGAUUGAAGGUACAAAUAUAAUUUAAUAUUUAAAUAAUAUUUUUAAUGUGAAAGAAAUGCUAGUAUAUUGGGGCUACUAUGUACUUUGGAUGGUGGCUCCCAAUGGUAAAAAAUAGACUUUGACUGUGUAAUUCUAUUCCUCAUUGUCUUCUCAUCUUUCAUCAUGUGUUGCAUGUGUUAAAAAUAAUAAUAAUAAUAAUAAUAAUAAUGUUGUCUUAACUAAAACUAGUUUUGUCAAUUUCCAUUUGUUUACGAAGGUGUCUUGAUCAAAAUUUUCCAAUAAAAGCAUGACACAUGUAUCAUUUAAUCAGCAAUUAAUUGGGUGUUAAAACAUGUAAUUAAGCAGGUCUCUCAUGCCCUCCUUUCGUAUCUGUCUUUAUUUGUUCAUAAAUAGGGAAGCAAAAAACAAAAAAAAAUCUCCAUCGAGAGAGCGACAUUAACUAGACCACGAACUUAUCUCGAGAUAUCAAAACUCAAAAAGAAAAAUUGAACGCUAAUCAAUUAAGACAGAGAAAAAUAAUUCUAACUUUUAGCUGUCGAAUUUGCUUCCUUCAAGUUUUCAGAGAUGCAAGGCAAAAGAAAGGACUAGAAUGAGAAUACCUAAUUUGAUUGUACCAGUAAGCUAUUUUUAAGAAAUUAGUUCGUAAGGACAAUCCUUGAAAUUGAAUCAAUUAAUCCCCUCUCCUUGCAGAAGAAAAAAGUAGCAGACUAUAUAAAUUAAUUCCUCGUCUCGUAUAUACUAACAAGUUAUUGGAAUAAUUUUUCUUUUCUCUAAGAAUAUAUGACAGAUCACAUUAAUGCGGGUUAGUCCAUUGUACCCUCUUUUGUUUUGGUUUAAAAAAUGGAUAUUUAAUAGUUUUAUUAUACAUCCAACAAGAAUUAUUGUAUUUUUCUCAUAAGUUAUUAUAUUUAUGUCAGGAUUUAAAUUUAUUAGGAAACCGUAGUGAAUAAGAUUAUUUGAUAUUGAUUUAUCUGUUAACUAUAUAUGAUUUAUUAAUCUCAAUUCAAUUUUGUUUUUUACUCUAGUAAUUGACCUGCAGACAAAAGUUGAUCUCGCCUCAAAGUUCCUCCCUUUUUAAAAAAAUUAACGCUGCUUAAAAUUAAAAAUUUGGUAAAAUAAUAUAUCCAUAAAAAUUAUAAACUCAGAAACGAAAAAGAAAAAAAAGCAAAGCCCAUUUAAUUUGCUAAAAUGAAUAUUAUAAAAAGAGUUGCUAAAAAAAAUAAUAAUUUAUUAAUAUCAAAGAAAAUACACAAGUUCUAAUUAAUAAAUCGAUAUACACAUGCCCCUCGUCUAAAAAAAAAUACAACCACAAGACAACCCACAUAUAAAAAAUAAAUCUUUAUUUCACUGUAUAAACAAAUAAAUAAAUUAUACAAUAUACUAAAAAGAGUCAAUGUUUUUUUUAAUAUUUACCUAGACUCAAAAUACUAUGGAUUGAAGCAGUGUAAUAGCAGCUUAGGCCCCCUUAACAAAGAGAGUUGCGAGGGCAGUGGAGUUGUCUUUUUAUUUGGAUGCAUUUGACAUUGAAUAGAUAGUUGGGGAGAAAAUGAUCACUUCAAGUUUAGGUGGGGCUACUCUAGGUGUCAGCCAAACUUGCUCACCCACAUGAGGACACCUGGCGUUUAGGUUGACCUGCACCACAUGGAGCUUGGACUGGCUUGCUCUUGCCAUGGGUGGCAACCAAGCCCGCGCACUCACGUUAGGAUACUUGACGCUUGGGCUGCCCUGCCCUUACCCUGGAUCUGACCUGAGCGCCACGUGGUGCUAGACUGGCAUGUCCUUGCCCUGACAAGAGCCAGACUCGCACCCUCACAUGAAAACACUCGACGCUGGGGUUGCCUUGCCUUGGACAAAGCCAAACCGCUCAACUUGGAUCCAAACAUGCUCCAAGCCCAAUAAACUGGUUUGGCAUGGAAGUGUCCAAGUCCAGUUAGAAGUACUAUAGCAACACUUGGAGUCCUGAUUUUAUUUCCCUAUCUUGGUAAACCGUUACCUAACACUAUUCCUCAUUUCAAACACUCAACGUAAUUUGUGUUAGCAUGGAAAGGUAGCACAAAAAAUUGAUUUCAAAUUAAUUAAUAGGAUUAAUUUAAGAUCAAAGUUGAAAAACUAAUUUUUAAAUGAUCAUUUAUCUGUUUUGUAAUGGGAUUAAUUUAAUGAGAUCAAAGUUGAAUUAAAAACUCAUUUUUAAAUGAUCAUUUAUCUGUUUUUUAAAGACCACGUACUAUAUCUUUGUAGCACUAUUGUCAGCCUGGCAAUGAAAGGCAACAUGGUAAUUAAAAACUUCAAAUUAGUGGUCAACAUUCAACACAUAAAAAAAUAGUGAGAAAGAAAGCAGUCGUUUUUCCAUGUCCCACUUCCACACAAAUGAUCUGUUAAUUUAAUCAAUUUUGAAUUAUGGGAUAGUGACCUAAUUAAUUUAACAAUUCAACAUCUUAAUAUUUUUAAUUGUAAGAGUACUUUCCUCGUCCAUGUUUGACGUCCUUUAUUCUAAACUCAUCCAAGCACUGGUUGUACAACGAAAAUCAAAACCAAACACAUAAAAUAUUAAGAGAGAAGUAGUUAUUUCUCCGUCAAAUAAUUAAAGGAGGAAAGUUUUUUUUUUUAGAGAGAGAAAAGAUGGAAAUAAUUUAAUUCUAUUCAAUGUGUGGGAAUGAAAAGAUCAUUGAUUAAAUUGACGCUAAGGGUUUAAGUAAUUAUGAUAAAGGAAAAUAAAUUGAUAAUAUGUCCAAAGAAUAAGGUCAUGUCUGCAAAUAACAGGGUUGCUCUCUUGGUUGAAAUCUGAUAGUUUUCCACUGUACUGAGUAAAAACAUGUGCAUAUAAAAAUAAAUCUUAAACGGAUAAGUGAUAACGUUGAAGUACAGGCGCUUGAAAAGAAAAACAUCGCAGUUUUCUUGUCUUAAAUUGGGCUGGGUUAGCCGAAAUGUACUCCAUUGAUCGAUUCAUAUAAAGUGACGCUCUUCUGAUAAAUAAUAAUAAAUUGAGGUGCUCAAACAAAAUAAGUAAAAGCUGAAACACUUGAACAGAAAUUUAACCAAAACAGAGGUACUAAAUAACGUCACAUCAUUGCUUCAAUUUUCAAACCAUGAUUAAAUUGUGCACCGAAAACUCCAGAUUUUUCAAACUGAUCAUGAAUCUGGCAUUACAUGCGUUUUAUUCGUACAGUGAUUACGAGGUAGAGAAUUCAAAUCUUCAUUGUGUUGCCGAUGUCGAUAACAAAUCGGUAUCUGACAUCUGUUUUCAAAAGCCGCUCCAUGGCCGUGUUCACAUAAUCCAUCGAGAUAACCUCAAUGUCUGCCGUGAUGUUGUUCUUGGCAGCAAAAUCAAUCAUCUCCUGUGUUUCCUUCAUUCCUCCUAUGCAACUCCCACCCACUAUUUUUCUUCCUGCCAACCCAAGAACAUGGAAUUCGUCGCUGUCAGCUCAAUAAAAUAAAUUUAGAACACAUGGUUGAGAUGCAAGCAUAUAUACAUACCCAUGAUCAGAGGAAACACUGGUAGCUCAAGUGGCUUUUCAGGCGCACCAACCAAGACCAGCUUUCCUUGAGUCUUCAAUAAACUAAUCAAAGGCAAGAUAGGAUGCAUGGCCGACACCGUGUCAAUGACACCAUCCAUUGUGCCCAUAGCAGCCUGAAUAACAGACAAUAUUAUAUUAUGUUUGAUGCUUAAUUAGUUUUACAGAUAAAUACAAGGAAUGUGCUCUGAACCACGUAUAUAUAUACCUGCAUCUCAUCCUGGUCACGACUAACCAAAAACGAGUCAGCGCCAAGAUGCUCAAGGGCUUCUUGUUUCUUCUUGGGAGAGGUGCUGAUAACUGUAACCUUGACCCCCAUGGCCUUUGCAAACUUUACAGCUACAUGACCUAGCCCGCCGAGCCCAACCACGCCCACAUGCAUACCCGGUUUGUCAAGAUUAAAAAACCUCAAGGGGCUGUAAACUGUAAUCCCAGCACAUAGGAGAGGUGCAGCGGCAUCUAGAGGUAGGUUGUCUGGAAUACGAACCACGAAGUGCUCAUCCGUGACCAUGCUGUCUGAGUAGCCUCCGUACGUGGUGGUUCCAUCGUGGUAUUUGGUACUGUAGGUGAGCAUCAUUUUUGGGCAAUAAUUCUCGAGAUCGCUGUUGCAACUAUCGCAAGAGUGGCAUGAUCCAACCAUGCACCCCACCCCCACUUUGUCUCCAACUUUGAACUUCUCGACUUUGCUUCCUACCUCUGUCACUUCCCCAACAAUCUCAUGCCUGCAUUGCCAAUUUAAUUUAAUUUAAUUAACCCUCAGAUGCAAUGCAUGGAUGAAUUGAUUCCAGUCAAAGUUCCUCUAAACAUUUUCCCUGGACUGCCAAUUGCCAUUCAUGAUGUUUAUGUGCAAAACAAAUGAGAAAUAACUAUAUACGGUCGUAGAUUUCUCUUCCUGUGUGUACUUACCCGGGAACUAGAGGGUACAUGGAAGUGCCCCACUCAUUCUUGGCCAUAUGGAGGUCUGAGUGACAUAUUCCACAAAACAGUACCUUGAAUCGCACAUCCUUCUCUCCUGUAGACCUGUUGCAAGAGGUGUUUCUUGCUUAGCAUAAACCGCAAAUGAAAACGAGAGAUAUUCAUAGGUAAAAAGUCUAUCAGAUCGCCAUUUUCACCAACCAUAAUAUUGCUAAACAUAUAUAUAAAGCUAUGAACAUGUGAUUCAAUAAACUUAUUUCACAUAAUAAAAUUAAAAGACUGCCAUAUCUGAUGUAGCCCAUCUUGCAGCUGUGCUGCAUGCUUGUUGGUGUUUAGAAAAACAAGAAGAAACUAGAUCUAAGUAAAACCGAGCUGGACACAGAGAGAGAAGAAGUCCCAUAAUUAAAUAAAGCAGCGACAAGAUGGAGGAGAGGGAAUAACCUCCUGGAGAAUUUGAAAGGAGAGAGGACCCCGGAUUGGUCUCUGGCUGCCCAUCCAAAAGCCUUGGUAGGAUGUUCUUCCUCGUAAGAUUUUUCUGCCAUUUCCACCCUCUUUUUUGCUUUAUUUGGUACUGCCGAGAGAGCGUGCAUGAGCACCAAUUUAUAAUGGCGGGUGGUCUGCCAUUGCUUAUUGGCAGGGAUGACAUCCUGGGUGACCUAAGCACCUUUAGUCGCUCAUCCGUGAGCUAAUCAAUUACCUUGGGAGAAAAGCCAUCUGUCCAGGAGCUAGUUAUAGUUACCUUGACUUCUCGCCAAGUCGCCGUACAACUUUCCCAUAAAGCUAUCUCAAGUAAGCUGUCGUUUACUCUCAACUCUAUUUCCUUGCGUUGAAUUAACAAGUGAAAAAAAAAAAAAAACAGGUGAAUUUCCGGCUUCCAAACCAAUGGUUGUGUGCCUCCCAAUAAAAUAAUAUAUUGGAAAAGUUAAUGUGAUUUUUAAUGCAAGAACUUUUAUGAUUUCCUUAGACGAUGCUUAAAUUUUAUUUGAAUAGAUUUUCCAAAUUAAAAAAUAAAUAAAAUAUGGAUGUCCCUCCAUUUGUGUCAACGUCUCUUGUCGUGUGAUAUGGCAUGGUGAUGUUUCAACAAUUGCUUAAGACACAUUAACUUUAAAACUCUAAAUUAAUUUUUAAAAUAGAGUAAAAUGUACCCGAGUUUAUGAAAUGUUUAAUUAUAUUAUGUUUUUUAAUUGAAAUGUAUGAAAAAAUAUGUUAUUAUUUAUAAAAUAACAGAUCAUGUGUAAAAGUCCUGUUAUUAUAAACACAUGGUAAAUGAGCCCACUUUCAAACAUAUCAAAGAUUUGGAUAUGGUUUUGAAAUUUAAUUUGAUUUGAUCUGAUUGGUCAAUUUGAGACCCAACUAACCCGAAGUUAAAACUUGAAAUUCAGAUCUUGAAGCGGAUCGAAUCUAAAAAUUAUGAGCGCAGAAAAUCAAUUCCAACCUAUUCUAGUCCAGAGAUGGGUUUUGUAAUGAUUUAAAAGUUCAGAAAUGUUUGUAGUAAUCUAGACUAGUGUGUAAGGAUAGAAAUCAAAAUUUUCUAUCCCUUAAAUUUCGUGAUAGUUAAUUUUAUUUUAUUUUUAUAAUUAAAAUAAAUAAUAUAAAAAAUAAAUAAGUUUUUUUUAUUUUUUAUUAAUAAAACAUUAAACAUUGACACAAAAUGAAAUAUUCAAAAUAUUUUUUCAUGUGACAUUAUAAAAGAACAUCAAAACCCUUUAUAAAUAAAAGGGUCUCAAUUUAAAAAAAAAAUUGAAGAUAUAAAAUUUUCUUUUAAGACAAGCAUAUCGAGUAAGGAAACUUUUUAUCUCUAUGGGAGCAAAACAUAGACGACAUCUCAUAAAAGUUUUUUAAUAACAUUUUAAAAACAGAUUAAAAAUACUCUUUAAAAUAUUAAAUCAUUAAAUUUCAUUUUAUAAUAAACGCUAAAAUUCAUAUUUUUAUAAAACAUAAAUCUUGAUUUAAUUUCACAAAUAAAUCAUAUCAUCAUAUUUUUACUUCUUUUAUUUAUCAUUACCUCUCCUUUUUUAUUCUCGUCUUCUCUUCUCAUAGUCUUUUUGUUGUUUUCAAUUUAUUAGGUUUUGAUUUCAUAUAUGGUUAGAUUUUGUACAGCUUUACUUGUUUCACAGUUAGAUUUGUGUGGCCUGGUAUGAACAUCGCUGCAUUGCUUCAUCGCCUUUAAAAUAAUUCAAUAUUUUAUUUUUCUUCUUCAACUCUCUCCUCUUCGUCGCCUUUAAAAUAAUUAAAUAGAACUGUUGACCAUUUGUAGGACAAUGAAAGGCGCUUCAAAAUAUUUUAUUUAUUUAUUUUAAAUUAAUAUAUUUUAAUAUUUUCAAAUCAUAUAUUAAUAUUAAAAAUAAUUUUUAAAAAAAUAAAAAGACAUGAAUAAUAUUUACUUUAACAUAAAAAAUAUUUAAAAAAUAACUCUAACGACGCUGUCAAAUAAACAUGAUAUCACGGUCUAUCAAAGCUUGAUAAACAAGAGAGUCCCAUCUGUGAGUGGGUCCCAAAUGAAACAUAGCCUCCAGAUCUCAAGGACAUCAAACUAGCGUGGGGGAUAGAGGGAGAAAGGUGGGCUGUGAUUUUCCAUGAUUGCUCCUUGUAGUGAUGAAAAGGAGAGGGAAGAAACUUUUUUAAUGUUGUUGACGUGGUUGUUUUUAAUCAUAAUUAAUAACUUGAUUCUAUUAUAUAAAAUUUAAUUAAAUUAGUUGCAAGGAAGUUAUUUAUUAAUAACAAAUAUGUUAAAAAAUAAAUAAGUUACAAUAGUAAUAUUUUUUAUUGGAGUGCAUAUAAGAAAAAAAUCGACCAUAUAUAUACUCUUCAAAAUACCAUUUUAAUAAUUUGGUUACUAUGAAUGGCUUUUGCCACCAUUGGAGAUGUUCCAAAAAGAUAAACAUGAUAUAGUACAUAUUAGAUAGGAAACUUUUCUUAACGUGAAAGAAAAAGAAAAGGUGAUACCGACUUUUUUUAAAAAAAGUAAGAAAAACAUUAUACCUUAAUUAUUAACUUACCAAGAUUUAAUAAACAUGAUUAAUUCAUAAGAUAAUUUUAAAAAUAAAAAUAUUGUAAAUAACAUGAAUAAGACAAAAAAGAGACAAUAAUUAAUUAUACUCUGGAAUUGAAGAAAAAGAAGCCCGUCAUCAACCCAUCAUCGCUUCAUCAUGCAACUGCUCAACUAUAUAAAAUAAAGACAGUUUAAACAUCAUUGUGAAAAGCUUUAUAUCGAUAUUAAAAAAGGCUACACAUGUGGUUAGAAUAAUGAAUUAGAAAAAAACUAAUAAAAAUAUCAUGAGAUGAAUAUCUCAUGCUUAUAUUUUAUUUAAUUUAAAAAUAAAUUUUAAAAAAAGAUAAAUUAAACAAAAAUUGAUAAAUAAAAAGAUAUGAGAUAAUUUGAGUUAUUAUUAAAAUUAGUGAAAUCUCUAUAGAAAAAAAAACAGAGUCCAAUCUUUAAUUUAAUAAAUAUUAAGGGGUUAAACUGAAAAAAUACAAGGUUCAAAAAGAAGAAGAACAAAUCAAGUAAAAUUUCUAAACCCGUGUUAAUCUUCUAAAUUUAUAAUCCCUGAAAUCCUAGCCUCAUGUUUAAUAAAAAAGCUCAAUUAUCAAAAAAAUUAAACCCUGGAGCAUGAAAUCAUUAAAAAGGGAUCAAUCUAGAAAAUAAUUCCAUAGCAAAUAAAAUAACAAGGAUAAAAUUGGAAGAAAAAAACCUUUAAAGGAUGCAAUCGUAAAAAAUUAAACUUUAAAAAAUAAUUUCAAAUAAAAAAAAUAUUAAUUAAAAGAAUAAAGACCAUAUAUAAAAAAUAAAAAAUAUUGACGGAGAUGAGAUUGAAAAAAAAAUCUAGUUUUAUAAAUUAUUUUAAAUAAAAUAAAUAAUAAUAAAAAAACAAGGAAUAAAUAUAAAAAUAUAACAAAGAGAGAAGCUGCUUUUAUUUUUUGCAUGGUAAACAUAAAAAUCAAGGUGAAAGGAAAAGUAGCAGAAAAAAAAGAAGUGUUGCGUGCACUGAAUUGGAUGUCCAUUUGAAACACGCGUCACACCUGGACGAAGAGGAUGCCAAGAAGAAUCUAAUGCCACUCUAGAAGCCACGCAUGUGUGCAAGUUAUUUUUUUUAAUAAUAUCUAUGCUAAGUCAAAUAUCAAACAACCCGUCAAAUAAUAUUAUGAUUACAAAACCCCAAUAUGAAAAAAGAUACAAAGACCAGCGGACCAAAGCUAUAAAAAAUCUAAAACGAUGAAGCCUCUAGAUUCAAGUUUAGAAAAUUUUGCUUUUAAAUUUUACUAUGCUAGAUAAAUAUAUAAAAAGGUUGCUGCCCUUGUCCAAUUCAUAAAUAACUUUACUACCAUUGGAAAAGACUAUACUACCCUCCAUGCAAGGGUUAAUAAUUCUGGCAUGAAUGAAAAAUCCCUACUUCAUUAUUGCAAUAAAUUCACUCCUGGUCCACAAUAUUUGGGGUGGGCACUUGUAGUUUUUUUUUUCCUUCUUAAUAUUGCAUUGCAAUUUUCUUAUUUUAAAUUGAGUUGGGCCAGUCGAUGACAACCACAACAACAGAAGUUGUAAAAAUUCUUGCAAGAACAUCGAUCUAUUUAUAGAAAUUAAGAGGUGCUUAAAGAGUACCAAAAACUGAAGAUGAUUCAAGCUCAUGAAUUCUCACAUUCCAUGCAUUUUAUUCAUACAAUAUUUAUGAGGGAGAAAAUUCAAAUUUUCAUUGUGUUGCCAAUAUCAAUGACAAAUCGAUACCUAACAUCAGUUUUCAAUAGCCGCUCCAUGGCAGUGUUCACAUAAUCCAUUGAAAUCAACUCGAUAUCUGCUGUUAUGUUGUUCUUAGCAGCAAAAUCAAUCAUCUCUUGUGUUUCCUGCAUUCCUCCACCAGCACUCCCACCCACCAUUUUUCUUCCUGUUAGGCCAAUAACAUGGUAGUUAUACUAAUAUUUAUCUGUUCGACUACCCAUGAGAAGAUCAAUGCGGCGAUAAAUUUAGAACACAUACUGAGAUAUAUGCAUUUAUACAUACCCACGAUCAAAGGAAACACUGGUAGCUCAAGUGGUUUCGCAGGCGCACCAACCAAGACCAGCUUUCCUUGAGUCUUCAAUAGACUAAUCAAAGGCAAGAUAGGAUGCAUGGCCGACACCGUGUCAAUUACACCAUCCAUUGUGCCCAUUGCAGACUGAAUAACAAGCAAUAUUAGAUCAUAAAACAAACAUACAGGAUAAAAGAUUUGAUUUGAUGUUUAAUUAGUUUACAAAUGCUAGGAAGGUGCUCUGAAUCAUGUUUAUAUACCUGCAUCUGAUCCUGAUCACGGCUAACCAAAAAUGAGUCGGCACCAAGAUGCUCGAGGGCUUCUUGUUUCUUGUUGGGUGAGGUGCUAAUAACUGUCACCUUGACCCCCAUAGCUUUUGCAAACUUUACAGCUACAUGACCUAGCCCGCCGAGCCCAACCACACCCACAUGCAUACCCGGUUUGUCAAGACCGUAAAAUCUCAAGGGGCUAUACACUGUAAUUCCAGCGCAUAGGAGAGGUGCGGCUGCGUCAAGAGAUAGGUUGUCUGGAAUAUGAACUACGAAGUGCUCAUCUACGACCAUAAUGUCCGAGUAGCCCCCGUAUGUGGUGGUUCCAUCUUGGUAUUUUGCACCAUAUGUGAUUAUCACUUCCGAGCAGUAAUUUUCAAGAUUGUUGCUGCAACUAUCGC